Molecule: ribosomal RNA, 253 nt
Filed under: uncultured bacterium
Lineage: Bacteria
Description: partial 16S ribosomal RNA
Rfam family: Bacterial small subunit ribosomal RNA
Source: RNAcentral
UACGUAGGGUGCAAGCGUUGUCCGGAAUUAUUGGGCGUAAAGAGCUCGUAGGCGGCCUGUCACGUCGGAUGUGAAAGCCCGGGGCUUAACCCCGGGUCUGCAUUCGAUACGGGCGGGCUGGAGUGUGGCAGGGGAGACUGGAAUUCCUGGUGUAGCGGUGGAAUGCGCAGAUAUCAGGAGGAACACCGGUGGCGAAGGCGGGUCUCUGGGCCAUUACUGACGCUGAGGAGCGAAAGCGUGGGGAGCGAACAGG